RNAcentral lists this ribosomal RNA (424 nucleotides) under uncultured bacterium. RNAcentral's name for it is "partial 16S ribosomal RNA". It matches the Rfam family "Bacterial small subunit ribosomal RNA", at positions 360 to 776 of the family's 1533-position model. The record is from RNAcentral.
AAUCUUCCACAAUGGGCGAAAGCCUGAUGGAGCAACGCCGCGUGAUUGAAGAAGGUUUUCGGUUCGUAAAACUCUGGUGUACGGGAAGAACAAGUAUAGUAGUAACUGGCUGUACCCUGACGGUACCUUAUUAGAAAGUCACCGCUAACUACGUGCCAGCAUCCGCGGUAAUACGUAGGUGGCAAGCUUUGUCCGGAAUUAUUGGGCGUAAAGCGCGCGCAGGCGGUCCUUUAAGACUGAUGGGAAAGCACACGGCUCAACCGUGGAGGGUCAUUGGAAACUGGGAGACUUGAGUGCAGCAGAGGAAAGUGGAAUACCAAGUGUAGCGGUGAAAUGCGUAGAGAUUUGGAGGAACACCAGUGGCGAAGGCGACUUUCUGGUCUGUAACUGACGCUGAGGCGCGAAAGCGUGGGGAGCAAACAGG